ACCGCCCCGCUUUGUUAAGAAUGCUGGGUGACCUGACUCUGCGGAAACCACAGAGAAACUGCAGCCAUUUGCUUGCCAAGAAUGCUGUCCUUGAGAGAAGUCAUGGUUCGUUAUGACAUUGAUGGUGGUGUUGCCACUUGAACUAGAUAUGCCUUGGUCCAUUAUGGUCUUGAUAGCAGUGUCACCGUAUGAACCAACUGUGCUCUGGUCCAUUGUGAUAUUGAUGGCACCACUGCUACUUGUAGAAGACAUGCCAUGGUCCCUUCUGAUAUUGGCGAUAUCGCUGCUACUUGAACUAGCUUUGCCCUGAUCCAUUAUAUUAAAGUUUGAGCAAGUUCGAAAUAUCUAUGUAAAACCAUGUAAAAAUUCUUCAAUAAUAAUAAUAAUACAACAAAUUGAGCGGGUAAAUUUUAGCGGAGAAAACUCACUGCGUUAAAGAUGUAUUAAAAUUUAUUUAGAAAGAUUAAAAUUUCGUUAUUAAAUAUAAAGAAUCACGCUAAAAUUUUUAGUGUUAUAAUUUUUAAUUUAUAAUCAUGCAGUAGUGAAUUUGAAUUUUUAAUUUACAACGAUAUAAUAGUGAAUUUAAAUUUUAUUAUUAAAUAUUCUAGCGAUAAAUUUUAUUCUCAAUAAAAAAUUAAUUUUGUAUAACGUGAUAAUAAAGAAUAUAAUCUCUUUAUUAUUUAAACAAGACAAAAAUUUAAUAUUAAAGUUAAAUAAAAAAAUUGUUUACACUAAAUUUAUAUCGAACAAUAACGUAAAAUAAUAAUUAAAUUUACAUAAAAUUUUAUAAAUUUAUAUUAUAGAACGAUAUAGAUUUAAUGUAAAUUAAGAAUUGAUCGUAGAGUUAAUUCAACUAACCUGAAUUGUUGGAUGAGGGGAGGAAGUUACUUUCUCGGCAUGCUUUAAAAAAAAGCCAUUAACUAGAAUAUCAACAUCUGCAGGUGGACCUUCUAUGAAAAUCACCACCUUUUUAAGAUAACCAUUAAGAAGGAACCUCCCUUUGAGUUGUACCCACUCCUUAUCUGUUACUUGCCGACUACAAAUCCAAAAAAACAAUUAAAAAAUAUAGAAUUUGAUUUGAUUGAUGAAAAUAAUAGAGAUGAUAUAAAUGAAUAAAACCUAAAACCUCACAUUUCUACAUCAUAGGUAUAAAAAUCUAUAUAAUCUAUAUCUAUAUAAAUAUAAUAAAAUUCAAGUCUAAAAUAAUUUUUAUUAAAGGUGAUAAGUGUUUUUUUUUUUUUUUUUUUUUNNGGUUGGGGGAGUCGAAUCUUAGACCUUUCAAGGUUACAGGAUGCACUUUCCACCAGGCUAAGCCUUGGAGUGCGAUAAAUAUCUUUCUUUUAUUUUUUUUUUAGUCCAUUUCGCCCCAAGUGACUUUUCACUUUAACGAAAUAAAGUUAAUGAUGAUAUAUUCUUUACGGAAUAAUAAUUAAUUCCUAAAGGAAAUUUUUUUAUAAUAUUUGAUUAAUAUUGAAAAUGAGGGUAAUUAUUACUCUAUUAAUUUUUACUAUGAUAUAAUAAAAUAAUAAAUAAAAAAAUUGAAAGGUUGAAAUUUAACUUUUAAAUGUGAGAUUCACCUGUUAUGUUUCGGAAGAAAUUUUAAAAAUAUCGCAUCCAUAAUUUACGAUAAAUCGAAAUUGUAUAUAAUAAUUAGAAUGAAAUUAUUAAAUAAUUUAUAUUAACUAUUUUAAAUUAAAUAAAAAAUGAGUUCAAAAAUUAUUUAGAUCAGUUCGGAUCGAACUGUUUCGAUUAGUAUCAGAGCCACUUUAGAAAGGUCCAAUCUUGAUUUAACAAUUAUAUUCGAUUCAAUUAUGAUAUUCUCUCUCAAUAAUUUCAGAUCAGGAAUUUAAGACAAAUUGAAAUCGUAUUAAAUAGUUAGUAUGAAACUAUUAAAUAAUUUGAGUUAACCAUUUUAAAUCAAAUAAAAAAUAAAUUUAAAAAUUAUUUAAAUCAGUUUAAACCGAACUGAUUUAUAUAAUAUCAUUUCAGAUAUUGCGGUAGGAGAGUCUGUACAAUAAAUAUACACUCACUAAAUUGAUAUAUUAUCGUAGUGUAAAUUUUAAUUCAAAAAAUCGACCAUAACUAAAUGAGAUUAAUUAUUUGUAGGAAUAAAAAUUUAAAAUUCUAAUUAUAAAAUGCUAUAGGUAUUUGGGCGUACAAAUUUUAUUUAAUAAUUUUUAAUUAAAUUAAUUUUAUUAAAUAAACUCAUUUAACAUGAAUUGAUCAAUUAAAAAAAAUUACAUGUCACUUAACUAAAAGAAACAAAUUAACUAAUAAAAUAGGCAAUGGAGAUUCUCCUUUCAAAUCUCCUAUAAAUAGAGAGGCUCUGCCCCACAGAAAAACUAGGAAGAUCAAGUUUAAACUAUAAAAGCAAAGGUCUUCUUUAUCGAUUUAAGAACAAAAUUAGAACAAAAAUUUCAAAUUCUUGAAUAGCAUAAAUUAAAUGAUUGAAUUUUUUUAUUUUAAAAAAUUUAUUAUUGGAGUCCGAACUCAUUUUUUUUUAUUUAAUUGAUAUUUUUUAAUUUCAGUUAUGAAAUUUAUGCGUAUACUAUUACCUCCUUUGACUCUAUAGCAGAUGUAGUAGUGGAACUUUAGAUUUUCUAUCUUAUAUUAUUCCAACUAAGUCCUAAAAGCAUCCACCCAACAUAGAUAAGUGUAGUUCAUAAAUAAAGUCAUGUGAACAAAGGGCUGAAUUAAGAAAAUGCUGUUUGCAGUGAUUCAAGGUGAUGAAAGAAUAAUAUAUACGGAGAUUAUUAGAGGGAAAAAGAGCUAACUUGGCAAUGCCUAUGUAUUCUUCUCGGAGAUCUGUCGUUUGGACGCAUAAAGUAACUCGCACAUCAGCACUGCUGACAUUGUUGCCAAAGAUCCGAACGACAGCAAUGGCCUCAUAAGCUAGCUUUGCCUGUACUUUUCCAGUUAUCUCCUGCUCGAUUCCGUUCCAGCACUGUGUACGUUCAGUUGCACAUGCAAAUACUUUUCCAAACUGGGGAACAAUUUUCCCACAAGCCAAUGAUUCAUGUAAGACAAGCUUGCAGCCUCUUCCAGACCACUUGUUCAGGCCAUCCUCAAAUUUAGGAUUUGCCAUGAUGUUCCCUUCUCCAUAUCCAAUGUCCACAAAUUGAUAAUUACUUGUUUCCUUUUGAUAACUUGUUUCCUCUUGAUAGCUUGUUUCCAUUUGAUAGCUGGUUUCCUUUUGAUAGCUUGUUUCCUUUUGAUAGCUUGUUUCCUUUCCAUAUCAAAAUGAAAAUUUUUUUACAAAUUUAUCAUCACAAAAAAGUACAAAUAAAAUUAAUAAAUAGGUUUAAGAAGAAAAAUUACAUAGAAUUCACUUGGAGGGGAGCUGGUAAUAACAACUGAUUGUAUAAGCAAGUCCACUGCAGGAGAAGGACCUUCCAAGUAAAACACGACACGAUCAGGGUUCGUUGGGAGGGAGAAUUUUCCUUCCAACUUUUCCCACUUUUCCUUUGACAGAGAAAUUCUGCAGGGAUAAGUUCCAUUAAGACAAUCUGUAUGUUUCAUUUAAGGAAGAAAUGCAAUAAAGUGAAGCAACAAAUCUAUUACCUUCCAAUGAACAAAUAGUCCGUUGGGGAAUUUCGAUAUUCCACUCUCAAAGUAGCUUGUACAUCAGUGGUUCCCUGAAUAUUUCCUGAUACACCAACAUAUGCAGUAACAUAAUAAGUGGAACCUGGAGAAACAAUGCUUGUGAUAUCUUGCUCCAAGCCCUGCCAACUUUCUGUUCGAUUUGUGACAACUGCAUAAUGACCACCCCGCUUUGUUAAGAAUGCUGGGUGACCUGACUCUGCGGAAACCACAGAGAAAAUACAGCCAUUUGCGUGCCAAGAAUGCAGUCCUUGAGAGAAGUCAUGGUUCGAUAUGACAUUGAUGGUGGUGUUGCCACUUGAACCAGACAUGCCUUGGUCCAUUAUGGUCUUGAUUGCAGUGUCACCAUAUGAACCACCUGUGCUCUGAUCCAUUGUGAUAUGGAUGGCACCGCUGCUAC
This 4000-nucleotide long non-coding RNA is filed under the name Manihot esculenta (cassava). Its description in RNAcentral is "long non-coding RNA (MESC_LNC003093)". Lineage: Eukaryota; Viridiplantae; Streptophyta; Magnoliopsida; Malpighiales; Euphorbiaceae. The record is from RNAcentral.